This 963-nucleotide long non-coding RNA is filed under the name Olea europaea subsp. europaea. The record is from RNAcentral. Lineage: Eukaryota; Viridiplantae; Streptophyta; Magnoliopsida; Lamiales; Oleaceae.
UGGAAUUGACCAAAAAUUUUGAUUUUAUUCAAAUAUAAGAUGGGCAAAAUGGUAACUUUACAAAUUUAACCUAAAAUAUUUAAAAAGAAAAGAAAAGAAUAGAAUAGAUCUAACAAAAAAAUAAUAAAAAUCAUCUUCUGCCCGGCCCUUAUGCAAUUCACCCAUCCACCACCACAUUGCAUCACCUUCACCACAAUACUGCCGUCGCCUCCAUACCAGCAGCACCUCUUUAAUCCAAUGUACCUGGUAGGGGGAAAUACCCUCCUAAAUUUUGCAUUGUUAGUGUAGAUUUCUUCCAUGUCCCUCCCAUUCUUCCUCUCCCAAAAUUGCAAAAUUGAAUGAUACUUUUCCUUUCUGAGCCACCCUAGAAUUUGGAAUAACAAAUCGUUUCUCCUCCAUAUUAUUGCAAAUUUAGGGAGAAAGUCUCAUUCCCCUAAAUUCGCAAAAUCAAGAGAAAACCCUCCUCUCCCUCCCAAUUUUGUCGUAAUUAGGGGAAGUAGCCCCUCCCCCUCCCCGCAUCCCUUCCUAAAUUCAUAAAAUCAGGGCGGAUAAAUUUUCAUUGAUUUUGCAAAUAACAUUGGGAAUUCAGGGAAUGAAAUUCUCUCCCUAAAUUCACAAAUCAGGUGGUGGAAGUUGGGUGGCUGCGGUUUUGUAUGGGUGGUGUUAGUGGCUAAAUAUAAAAGAGGAAUGUUUUGUUUGAAAUGAGAACUGUGUACGGUGGAGGCAACCUCGAUUGGGAGUGGUAGUGGUGGUUCCUACCGAGUUUGCUGAAGAGGAAGUGAAUUUUAUUAAUUUUUUUAAAAAUAAUUGUCAAAUAUUGAUAGCAGCAACACCUUACGAGAAAUAAUAUAUCCGUGUGGGUCAUUGCUGGAUUAGCAGGCGGGUAAUCACCAGAGCCGAAGGAGAGGAAGCUGGCAGGUGGCAACGGCUGCGGUGAUUAUUUUCCGUGGGGGUCGAAAAUGG